GCUCUAGGUGAUUCUAAUUGAAGCCAAGCCUGGGAAACACUGAACUAUUUUAUUGACUCUCUUAAUAACACAAAAACAAUAAGAUAGUUAAUAUUCUCUUUUCAAAAUAAAUGACUAAAAUGUUACACUGAAUUAGUGUGUUUUACACAGGGAUUUAGAUGAGUUUUGACUUCUCAAUCUUAGAUUGAACUCUAAUUUGAAUUUUUUUUUAAAGACUUUAUUUAGUCAUGAGAGACACACACACAGAAAGAGGCAGAGACACAGGCAGAGGGAGAAGCAGGCUCCAUGCAGGGAGCCUGAUGUGGGACUCCAGGAUCACGCCCAGGGCUGAGGGCGGUGCUAAACCGCUAAGCCACCUGGACUGCCCUCCAAUUUGAAUUUUAAAGCCAAACAUUAGUUAUUAUUUUUAACCUUUUAGGCAAUUUAUAUACCACAUAAACUAUGUAUUUAGGUUAUAACUAUAAAACAAUUACAUUAAAAUUUUAGAUUAUAGAAAAAUAGCAUUUUAUACUUAAAAGUAAAAAUUUAAAAAAGACUGAGCUUAAAAGGAAAGUUUCUAUUCUUUUUCCAGUUUUUAUCUCUUCUUAUUGUGUUCUUCGGCAUUAACAGAAUUAAUAGAAUUCUGUUUUCAUCAGUUACAAUGAAAUGGUGGCAAUUACCACUGUGCUAAGGAAUUUCCAAGACUGUGAGAAAUCAUUUAGCUUUAAGACCUAUAAAAUGCAAGACAAGAGGCUUAUAUUUUAAUUAACUCUACCUUUCUUCCUUCGAUAUUUAAAAAUAACUCUUAAUUUCUGGACUAUGACUUAACUGGUAGAAUUGACAGUAUAUACUGAAGAUAAAAUAAUUAUUCUUUUAUAUAAGCGAAGCAUGAACACUGAAAUAAAAAUAUAGUGGAGUUUGGGGAUAUGAUUUCACCAUUUGGAAAUAUAAAAUAUAUAUAUCUUAUUUUGAAGAUUCAGAUAUGUCCUUUUAUUAGAGAAUUGCGAUUAUCUGAAAGAUCAUGUUCAUUGUAAGGAUUAUCUAAGUACGUGGGAAUUUGUGUUUAAUACCAUGGUGUGUUUUGACCUUAACACACAACAUACAAUCAGCAAUAUAGACAAGAUCUUUUAUUUCAAUUUAUACUUAAAAUCUUUGGAGCCUGUUAACAUUCUUGAUACUUUUGGAUAAGACACUAACAUUUUCUGAUGCCAUGACUGGGAAUAAAUCCUGUAUGAAGCAUUCCAGGUAAGUAGAAAAAAGUGAGCUGACUUUAGAUAUUAUACUGAGACAAGAUUCUUCACUGUCAGUAAACUUUUUAGUAUUGUAAUAAAACAAUUAAUUAUAACUGUUAUUUUUAGAAAUGCAUUUAUCUACAAAAUUCAAAAUGAUGCAACUUUCUGGGCAUUUUUAAAUUUUCCACUUUUUUGCCAUAUCUAUGUGACUAUUUCUCAUUUUACAUACAAAUAGAAGAUGGGCAGUAUCUCUCACUUCAACAAUUAGAUCUUUUACAUACUCAAAAAAUUAGUUUAAAUUUCUCUAAUAAGUAGUCCUAGUGUGUUAUAUAUAAAUGUUAAUGAGGAAAACUCCACUUUGCUAAGAUCUUUCAUAUAGGCAAUUACUAGACAUAUGCAUGUGUUUUACAUAUACAUGCAAUUACAUAUAGGCACGAACACAGAAACACACAGCCUCCCCUCUACCAUGUUAUUUUAGACAUAAAAUGAUGGAGUAGAACAAUAAUGCUUCAGCUUCAGUUCUACUGUGUUCAUUACCAACUUUGAGAAUCCACUUUGUAUAUACUUCCCAAAAUAUUUAUAGAUGUAUUUUUCUGUAAAAUUGAGGACUUCUGGAUUGUCCUGAGACAAAAAGAAACUCUUGUUAAUCCUUUCCUAUGAUGUAUUCCCUAGUGUCCAUAAAUCACUACCUAGGGGCAAAAAACCCUAAGUAAGGCAUAAUGUGUUUCUGAAGAAGAGGCAAAGAUCAUGUAAGAGCCUUGGUAGUGGGUGGAAUGACCAUACAGACAUGUGUGAGCUUGUUUGAAACUGAGAUCCCAGUCACACUUCCAGCAUUUCAAUGACAUAGAAUACUUAGAAAAAAAGUGAAAAACUCAAUUGUAAGAAAAAAAUUUUGGAUAGUGUUUCACAAACUGAGUUUCAUGGAUUAAUACUGCUCAAUGUAUUGCUCCUUAGAUUCCUUGAGGAUUUCAGGACCAGAUGAUUUUAAAAAAAAAAAAACUUAUCUAUUUAUUUGAGAGCGAGUGUUUGAUCACAAGCAGGAGGAGAUAGGGAGAGAAAGAAAGAAAGAAGAGAGAGAGAGUGAAUCAGACACCCUGCUGAGGAGCCCCAACACGGGAAUAGAUCUAAUGAUUAUGGAUCUAUUAUGAUUAUGGCCUUAGGAUCAUGACCUAAGCCAAAACCAAGAGUCAGCCACUCAACCAACUGAGCCAUCCAGGAGGCCCCCAGGGCCCAGGUAAUUUUAGAAACAGUGUAAUAUAACCCUUGGAAUUUUGCAGUGUAUUCUCUGAAAUUCUACAAUAAAAAAAAAAAAUCUGUUACUUUGUUUAAUCUAGCAUCUCUCAGGUAUAAUUAAACUUAGAACUAAUUUUUCCCCCAUCAAAUAAGAACUGUUGAAUGCAGAUUAUAAAAUGCUGUAUUUGAUCGCUAGAUAUACAAUUGGUAAAACUGUUGUGUGAAGACUAAAGAUUGAGAGAUUGCAUAUAUAAAGACCUAGAAAUUUAUGCUGCUUUGACAAUGGGAUGAAAUAGUCCCAUAGAUCAGAGUAGAACUUUAACUAGAAUUUGAUUUAAAAGUAUACUGCUAUUCUUUUUUUUUAAGAUUUUCAUUUAUUUAUUUAUUUAUUUAUGAGAGACAACAGUGAGAGAGAGAGAGAGAGUGAGAGAGAGAAAGGCAGAGACAUAGGCUGAGGGGGAAGCAGGUUCCCUGCAAGGAGCCCAAUGUGGGACUUGAUCCUGGACCCUGGGAUCACGCCCUGGGCCAAAGGCAGAUGCUCAACCGCUGAGCCACCCAGGCAUCUCAGAAUUAUACUAUUAUUCUCUAUCCAUUAUGUGUACUGGUGUAGGAGUGGAGGAGUAGUAAUACGAACAAGACACACACAUACUAACUUGGAAUCUGUUUCAGAAUUUUCUAAAUAAAGGCUUCAUGCGUGCCAAGUAAUAUAUAUAUGUAUAUAUAUAAUAUACAUAUGUGUAUAUGUAUAUAUGUACAUAUAUGUAUGUAUAACAUAUAUAAUACACUUUUAUACUUAUAUAACACAUACAAAAUAUUGUAUUUACUUUAGAGAUGAGAAACCUAUUCUUAGAAAAGUAAUUUGUUCAGAUACAGAAUUGGUGAAAUCUUUCCCUCAAUCUUUCCCUCAAUUGCCUAGUUAAAUGGAAUUUAUAUAAACUUUGAGCGUCUUAAAAGUGGGAUCCAUAUUUUUUCAACAGUCUCUUGGCUGUCUGUUACCCACCUGCAUCUUUAUUUAAAUGAAAAGGGGUGGGUUAAUUUUUUUUUCAAUUAGUCAUUUAGUUGAGGCAGCAUAACAUUGUUAAAAAUAAAAAUGGGCUUUAGACUGUGAGAUUUUGGUUCAAAAUUCACUAGCUCUAUGACUAUCAAAUCUGAAUUUAAAUUUCCUCUGUGAAGCGAACAUGAAAUAAAUCCAUUUCACCAUAUUAUUAGAAAGAUUAAAUGAGCCAAUUCAAAGUGCCAAGUACACCCUGGGCACUCAGAAUCUGAUAAUUGCUCUUGAUUUUCUUUGCAAAUAUUCCUAUGAAAAUGUAUUUUCAAUAUUAUAAAGAAGUACC
This 3778-nucleotide long non-coding RNA is filed under the name Canis lupus familiaris (dog). RNAcentral describes it as "lncRNA (ENSCAFG00845005535.1)". The record is from RNAcentral. Lineage: Eukaryota; Metazoa; Chordata; Mammalia; Carnivora; Canidae.